This 253-nucleotide ribosomal RNA is filed under the name uncultured bacterium. Its description in RNAcentral is "partial 16S ribosomal RNA". It matches the Rfam family "Bacterial small subunit ribosomal RNA", at positions 524 to 776 of the family's 1533-position model. The record is from RNAcentral.
UACGUAGGGGGCAAGCGUUGUCCGGAAUUAUUGGGCGUAAAGAGCGCGUAGGCGGUCCGAUAAGUCGGCUGUGAAAGUCAAGGGCUCAACCCUUGAAAGCCGGCCGAUACUGUCGGACUAGAGUCCGGAAGAGGCGAGUGGAAUUCCCGGUGUAGCGGUGAAAUGCGCAGAUAUCGGGAGGAACACCAAUGGCGAAAGCAGCUCUCUGGGACGGUACUGACGCUGAGACGCGAAAGCGUGGGGAGCGAACAGG